Molecule: small RNA, 394 nt
Filed under: Pongo abelii (Sumatran orangutan)
Lineage: Eukaryota; Metazoa; Chordata; Mammalia; Primates; Hominidae
Description: processed transcript
Source: RNAcentral
UCAAUGCAAAAUCAUGCUGCCGUGUUCCGUGUGGGAAGCGUGUUGCAGGAAGGUCACCCUGGAAUAUAGACCCGUAAUCGACAAAACUUUGAACGAGGCUGACUGUGCCACCGUCCCCCCAGCCAUUCGCUCCUACUGAUGAGACAAGAUGCGGUGAUGACAGAAUCAGCUUUUGUAAUUAUGUAUAAUAGCUCAUGCAUGUGUCCGUGUCAUAACUGUCUUCAUACGCUUCUGCACUCCGGGGAAGGAGGAGUACAUUGAAGGGAGAUUGGCACCCAGGCUGGGAGCUUGCCAGGAACCCAGUGGCCAGGGAGUGUGGCACUUACCUUUGUCCCUUGCUUCAUUCUUGUGAGAUGAUAAAAUUGGGCGCAGCUCUUAAAUAUAAAUGAACAAA